CGGGUAAUCUUGUAAACCGCGUCGUGAUGGGGAUAGAUUAUUGCAAUUAUUAGUCUUCAACGAGGAAUGCCUAGUAAGCGCGAAUCAUCAGUUCGCGUUGAUUACGUCCCUGCCCUUUGUACACACCGCCCGUCGCUCCUACCGAUUGGGUGUGCUGGUGAAGUGUUCGGAUUGAUCUUGACGGGGGUAACUCAGGCUUGAUUGAAAAGUUCAUUAAACCCUCCCACCUAGAGGAAGGAGAAGUCGUAACAAGGUUUCCGUAGGUGAACCUGCGGAAGGAUCAUUG
Molecule: ribosomal RNA, 286 nt
Filed under: Volvox globator
Lineage: Eukaryota; Viridiplantae; Chlorophyta; Chlorophyceae; Chlamydomonadales; Volvocaceae
Description: partial 18S ribosomal RNA
Rfam family: Eukaryotic small subunit ribosomal RNA
Source: RNAcentral